This 1216-nucleotide unclassified non-coding RNA is filed under the name Leishmania donovani. Its description in RNAcentral is "gene:LdHU3.32.4360(CDS-product:glucosamine-6-phos phate_isomerase_putative)". The record is from RNAcentral. Lineage: Eukaryota; Euglenozoa; Kinetoplastea; Trypanosomatida; Trypanosomatidae.
CGCACGCGCUUCAGGUUUUCGUCUGCGAUUGCCACCUGCCCCUGAACUGAGUCUCUUGCUCCCUCCCUUUCCUGGUAACCAGUACACCACCCCCACUUCACAUACUUUUAUCGACCAUGCGGAUCGUGAUCUCCGAGACGGCGGACAAGGUGGCGGACUACACGUCUAAUUACGUGAUCAAGUCCAUCAACGAUUUCAAGCCGACGGCAGACCGGCCGUUUGUGCUUGGGCUUCCGACGGGCGAAACGCCGAUGCGCACGUACCAGAAACUGAUCGUUGCGUACCGCGAGGGCCGCGUUUCGUUCAAGAACGUGAUCACGUUCAACAUGGAUGAGUACGUGGGGCUGCCAGCGGAUCACCCGGAGAGCUACCACUACUUCAUGAAGCACAACUUCUUUGAUUACGUAGACAUCCCCGAGCAGAACCGGCACAUCCUGAACGGGAACGCGCCGGAUCUGAUCGAGGAGUGCCGCCAGUACGAGGAGAAGAUCCGGGCUGUUGGCGGCAUCCACCUGUUCCUCGCCGGGAUCGGGACGGACGGACACCUUGCGUUCAACGAGCCUGGGAGCAGCCUCUACAGCCGCACGCGCGUCAAGAGCCUGAAUGCGGAGACGAUGGAGAGCAACGCGCGGUUCUUUGGCAACGACGUCUCGCGCGUGCCGACGAUGGCGCUAACGGUUGGGCUGCGCACGAUCAUGGAGGCCAAGGUUGUGCUGAUGAUUGCCACUGGUGCCAGCAAGGCUCUCGCGGUUGCGCGGUGCGUGGAGGGCGGGAUCACACACAUGUGCACUGCAACGAUGCUACAGAUGCACCCCGCCGCGGUGCUGUGCCUUGACGAGGACGCGACCCUGGAGCUGAAGGUGCGGACGACGCGCUACUUCAAGUUGCUGCUGAACACGGAGAAAGCGCUGGAGGAGCGCCAGAGCAACAUGAAUCGUACCUAUUCGAAGCUGUAGGCGUCUUUGUUGCGCCCACGUGCAAGCACGCCCAUCGCCUCCGCUGCCAGCUCGCGUGCCCGAAAGGGGCAGCAGCGCGUCUCCACUGUGGCAAACCGCGUGCAGACAACUUCGCCGCCCUCCGCCUCCGUCCCCUCCCCGCUGUCUUGUUACCCUUUAAUGUUUCACUUUUGCUCUCUUUCUUAUUUUUUUUUCGUUGGUUCGCGUCUCCUUGGUUGAUGGCCCCUGCGUGAGCGUGUGUGGUGUGCAUGCUUAUUGAG